RNAcentral lists this long non-coding RNA (203 nucleotides) under Elaeis guineensis (African oil palm). RNAcentral's name for it is "long non-coding RNA (EGUI_LNC018323)". Lineage: Eukaryota; Viridiplantae; Streptophyta; Magnoliopsida; Arecales; Arecaceae. The record is from RNAcentral.
CCGGCUGAAUCAAUUUUAUGAAAGCUCAAAUUGAAAUCGGAUCAAGUUUUUUUGAUUCAAGCCUUUCUCAAAUUAACACCAAACCAAUCUUUUUUUUUUUUUGAAAGAUAUAAACUGAAAUGAAGAGACCAGUUCAAGUUUGGUUCGCAGUAUGGCCAGUUUUUUGCACACCUCUAGUUGGUUCAAUGGCCUUACGUGAUAGC